GAUGAACGCUGGCGGCGUGCCUAAUACAUGCAAGUCGAGCGAAUGGAUUAAGAGCUUGCUCUUAUGAAGUUAGCGGCGGACGGGUGAGUAACACGUGGGUAACCUGCCCAUAAGACUGGGAUAACUCCGGGAAACCGGGGCUAAUACCGGAUAACAUUUUGAACCGCAUGGUUCGAAAUUGAAAGGCGGCUUCGGCUGUCACUUAGGGAUGGACCCGCGUCCCAUUAGCUAGUUGGUGAGGUAACAGCUCACCAAGGCAACCAUGCGUACCCGACCUGAGAGGGUGAUCGGCCACACUGGGACUGAGACACGGCCCAGACUCCUACGGGAAGCAGCAGUAGGGAAUCUUCCGCAAUGGACGAAAGUCUGACGGAGCAACGCCGCGUGAGUGAUGAAGGCUUUCGGGUCGUAAAACUCUGUUGUUAGGGAAGAACAAGUGCUAGUUGAAUAAGCUGGCACCUUGACGGUACCUAACCAGAAAGCCACGGCUAACUACGUGCCAGCCGCCGCAGUAA
Molecule: ribosomal RNA, 515 nt
Filed under: uncultured bacterium
Lineage: Bacteria
Description: partial 16S ribosomal RNA
Rfam family: Bacterial small subunit ribosomal RNA
Source: RNAcentral